This 1329-nucleotide ribosomal RNA is filed under the name metagenome. RNAcentral describes it as "SSU rRNA". It matches the Rfam family "Eukaryotic small subunit ribosomal RNA", at positions 1 to 1369 of the family's 1831-position model. The record is from RNAcentral.
UCUGGUUGAUCCUGCCAGUAAUAUAUGCUUGUCUCAAAGAUUAAUCCAUGCAUGUCUAAGUAUAAAUAGUAUACCUUAAAACUGCAAAUGGCUCAUUAAAACAGUUAUAGUUUAUUUGAUAAUCAAACGCUACAUGGAUAACCGUGGUAAUUCUAGAGCUAAUACAUGCUGAUGACCCGGCGCAAGUCGUGGUUGUAUUUAUUAGAUAUUAAACCAAUAUGUUAAUAGCAUUUUGAAGGAAUUACAGUAACUGAUCGAAUCCUCAUUCGUUGAGGAUAAAUCAUUCAAGUUUCUGCCCUAUCAGCUUUCGAUGGUAGUGUAUUGGACUACCAUGGCGAUUACGGGUAACGGAGAAUUAGUGUUCGAUUCCGGAGAGGGAGCCUGAGAAACGGCUACCACAUCUAAGGAAGGCAGCAGGAGCGUAAAUUACCCAAUGUCGACUCGAUGAGCGUAGUGACAAUACAUAACAAAGAGGGGAUCUUGUAUCUUACUCUAUUGCAAUGAGGCAUGUUUAAUAACCUGUUCGAGCAACCAGUGAAGGGCAAGUCUGGUGCCAGCAGCCGCGGUAAUUCCAGCUUCACGAGUGUAUAUUUAAGUUGUUGCAGUUAAAAAGCUCGUAGUUGAACUUCUGUUCGUUCAGAAGGCGUGCAAGCGAAUUCUGGAUGAGCAUCCGCCUGAAAAAUCAUUCGGGUCUUCACUGAUUCAGUGAUGGAUCAGGCAUUUUACUUUGAAAAAAUUAGAGUGUUCAAAGCAGGCUAUCGCCUGAAUACAUUAGCAUGGAAUAAUAGAAUAGGACGCUGUUCAAUUUGUUGGUUAUUGAAUCGCGUAAUGAUUAAUAGGGACAGUUGGGGGCAUUUGUAUUUAAUUGUCAGAGGUGAAAUUCUUGGAUUUAUUAAAGACAAACUUAUGCGAAAGCAUUUGCCAAGGAUGUUUUCAUUAAUCAAGAACGAAAGUUAGAGGAUCAAAGACGAUCAGAUACCGUCCUAGUUUUAACUAUAAACUAUGCCGACUCGGUCUCCGUCGAGCUUUCCUAACUCGAUGGGUGCCGUAUGAGAAAUCAAAGUCUUUGGGUUCCGGGGGGAGUAUGGUCGCAAGGUUGAAACUUAAAGGAAUAGACGGAACAUCACUACCAGGUGUGGAUCCUGCGGCUUAAUUUGACCCAACACGGGGAAACUUACCAGCGCAAAACAAGGGUGGGAUUGACAGAUUGAGAGCUCUUUCUUGAUUCUUUGGAUAGUGGUGCAUGGCCGUUCUUAGUUGGUGGAGUGAUUUGUCUGCUUAAUUGCGUUAACGAACGAGACCUCAACCUACUUACUAGACGCAUUAUGU